This 51-nucleotide microRNA precursor is filed under the name Loxodonta africana (African savanna elephant). Its description in RNAcentral is "mir-1302 microRNA precursor family". It matches the Rfam family "mir-1302 microRNA precursor family". Lineage: Eukaryota; Metazoa; Chordata; Mammalia; Proboscidea; Elephantidae. The record is from Rfam by way of RNAcentral.
UUUUAACUAUAAGUAGUCCCAUGCAAUAUUUGGGACAUACUUAUAAUAAAA